RNAcentral lists this ribosomal RNA (253 nucleotides) under uncultured bacterium. RNAcentral's name for it is "partial 16S ribosomal RNA". It matches the Rfam family "Bacterial small subunit ribosomal RNA", at positions 524 to 776 of the family's 1533-position model. The record is from RNAcentral.
UACGAAGGGGGCUAGCGUUGCUCGGAAUCACUGGGCGUAAAGGGAGUGUAGGCGGUCUUUUAAGUCUUCUGUGAAAUCUACGGGCUUAGCCUGUAACGUGCAGAGGAAACUGGAAGGCUUGAGUGUCGGAGAGGAUAGGGGAAUUCCCGGUGUAGAGGUGAAAUUCGUAGAGAUCGGGAGGAACACCAGUGGCGAAGGCGCCUAUCUGGCUGACAACUGACGCUGAGACUCGAAAGCAUGGGGAGCAAACAGG